This is a long non-coding RNA of Ostrea edulis (European flat oyster), 1394 nucleotides long. RefSeq lists it as uncharacterized. The record is from RefSeq and is a predicted model, not a curated record. The transcript is spliced from 3 exons. NCBI's taxonomy places the organism in Eukaryota, Metazoa, Mollusca, Bivalvia, Ostreida, Ostreidae.
GUUUAUCUAAUUCAUCCUAAAAUCGAGGGAAAACACGUAUAUUUUCAUCCUUUACUAAAAAGUGGAUAAUUAAUGUAACGCACUAUAUUUUCUUGCGGUGAUACUCUUCCGCCAUUAAUAAAUAUUUUACUCGAUGACAAUGUAGGGGAGGAUUCAAAUUUUUUUUUAGCCUAAGUUAUUUUUAAGGGUAUCGUCGGUAAGCGUUUUGUUUUUGUUUUUACGAAGUAGUAGACAGCAUCAGCAUAUUUUUAAUUAUUAGGUGUAUGCGUGAUAAAAACAGCGCGUAGAUUUUUAACUUUACAUCAAGUUCUGGAAAUCGGAAAUGAGGGGUGGAAAAUCUAGUCUUUUGACAGCAAUACUCAUAUUUACAUGGAUGAAAGCUGUGAUAAAUGCACAAAACAGUGAGAAAGGUUCCAUGACCAGGAUGGAGAAAAGGUUUUUAACCAAUUUUCCAAUAAAGUCAUACUUUCGUCAAAGACGCGAGAGCAUUGCCUUUGAAGAGGAGGACUUUAAUCCCAAUGGUGGCAAGUUUAAAAAUUAGCUAUAUAAAUUCAAAAAUAUUUAAUAUGAUAUAGCAAUGCAGCUGAAUAAUCCACUGUGUUGAAUAAGUGAACACAUUUUCCUUUAGGGUAUGGACCUUGGUCAAGGUGGAGUCCCUGCAGUAGAUUAUGUGGUGCUGGCCAAGCAACACGUACACGAAAAUGUCACGAUGUAAUGAGAUGUCAUGCUGGAAAUGUGGAAUUGAGGCUUUGCUUCCAUAGAAAAUGCAGAUCAAAAAGAACUUCUAUCAAUCUACAUGUAAAAGAAUGAACCACACAAGACAUUGUUCAAACAGGUUUAUUGGUAAUGGUUGAAUGCUGCACAAUAACUUAAUAUUACUCAUAUUCUGCAUAAACCAUGCAAAAGAAAUCUGUUCUAGUCAUUACCAACUUUUAUCUUGCAUUGAUCAAUUUAAUGAUUGCACAAAAGUAUAAAAUUUGUGGAAUGCUUUAAUUUGUUAUGCAUUGUAUAUGAAUAAGAAGAUGUAUAAGUUUUAAAUUCAUUUAAAACAAGAGACCCAUGGGCCAUAAUGCCCACCCGAGUUAACUUCCUUAUAUACAGAGAUAAAGACUCAAAAAUUUGGGAGCACAAAUAGUGUAAAACUUUAACCCCCUGUUUUAACCAUGGGGAUCACACUUUGAACAAAUUUGAAUCUACAUAAUAUGAGGAUGGUUUUAUACUAAUUUAACAAACUGUACUUGUUGUUUUUGGGAGGAAAAUCUUUAAAGAUUUUCUUGAGCAUCUUUUCAUACUGUAGAUGUUCUUAUGCAUGUACAUCCCUAUGCACCAUAAAAAGUUAAUUCCUUAGAGUGAACACACUGGCCCAGGGGAUCUUUAAAUAAAGACCAUUUAAU